GGAAUUGACGGGGCCGCACAAGGGCGGAGCUGCGGAUAAUUCGAUGCAACGGAAGAACUUACCAAGGCUUGACAUGUUCUCGUCGCGGAGAGUACGGUUCCCCUUUGGGGCGGGUUCACAGGUGGUGCAUGGUGUCGUCAGCUCGUGUCGUGAGAUGUUGGGUUAAGUCCCGCAACGAGCGCAACCCUCGUUCCAUGUUGCCAGCACGUAAUGGUGGGGACUCAUGGGAGACUGCCGGGUCAACUCGGAGGAAGGUGAGGACGACGUCAAAUCAUCAUGCCCCUUAUGUCUUGGGCUUCACGCAUGCUACAAUGGCCGGUACAAUGGGUUGCGAUACUGUGAGGUGGAGCUAAUCCCAAAAAGCCGGUCUCAGUUCGGAUUGGGGUCUGCAACUCGACCCCAUGAAGUGGGAGUCGCUUUGUAAUCGCAGAUCAGCAACGCUGCGGUGAAUACGUUCCCGGGCCUUGUACACACCGCCCGUCAAGUCACGAAAGUCGGUAACACCCGAAGCCGGUGGCCUAACCCUUGUGGGGGGAGCCGUCGAAGGUGGGACCAGCGAUUGGACUCU
This 568-nucleotide ribosomal RNA is filed under the name Micrococcus sp. NASA2-2. Its description in RNAcentral is "bacterial SSU rRNA". It matches the Rfam family "Bacterial small subunit ribosomal RNA", at positions 906 to 1484 of the family's 1533-position model. Lineage: Bacteria; Bacillati; Actinomycetota; Actinomycetes; Micrococcales; Micrococcaceae. The record is from RNAcentral.